UACGGAGGGGGCGAGCGUUAUUCGGAAUUAUUGGGCGUAAAGGGCGCGUAGGCGGCCCGGUAAGUCAAAGGUGAAAUCCCUCGGCCUACAGAGGAACUGCCUUUGAAACUGUCGGGCUUGAGGCCGGGAGGGGGUAGCGGAAUUCCCAGUGUAGCGGUGAAAUGCGUAGAUAUCAGGAGGAACACCGGUGGCGAAGGCGGCUUUCUGGACAGAUACCGACGCUGAGGCACGAAAGCUAGGGGAGCAAACAGG
Molecule: ribosomal RNA, 252 nt
Filed under: uncultured bacterium
Lineage: Bacteria
Description: partial 16S ribosomal RNA
Rfam family: Bacterial small subunit ribosomal RNA
Source: RNAcentral